GCAAUACUCCGUCCGUCCGGAAAUACUUGUUCUACAAAUGGUUGUAUUUAGACUCAUUUUUAGUUAUAGAUACAUCCAUUUUAUCCAUUUUCAGGACAAGUAUUUCCGGACGAAGGGAGUAUAUA
Molecule: non-coding RNA, 125 nt
Organism: Triticum aestivum (bread wheat)
Lineage: Eukaryota; Viridiplantae; Streptophyta; Magnoliopsida; Poales; Poaceae
Source: Rfam